CACUCUUUAAAUGAAGGGUAAACAAAGGUGCUUCCUCAAAGUGAAUUACUCUGCGUAAACACAUAUAAGUCUGCGUCCUUUGCUUUUGAUCCAAGGACUUGGUCCCAUGGAGUUGAAAGCAUUUCUUGUCAGAUCCGGCCCAAUCUCAAAGUUGGAGGCAACAGCGUGAAAGGUGUGACCAGACGUCCUGUACAGUGUGGAGCUGUCCCCUGCUUGGAGGUGACUGUCAGUUCCACGCGGAGAGGAGAAGGGCUGCUCUGUGGAGAGGAAGCUGCAGAUGGGGGUUCUGGUGCUGGAUUGGGAAGAGAGCCUCCGAGCACGUCUGUCUCCGGGAACAUUUCUGGGGAACGGUGCGCUCGGCUCCAUGCCUCUUCUCAGGUCCCAAACUAAACCAUCCUUUGGGAGUUAAAGAGUUUGAUGACUGGCUGGGAUCUGAGAAAUUUACACAGAUGUAUAUUAAUCCAC
Molecule: long non-coding RNA, 465 nt
Filed under: Homo sapiens (human)
Lineage: Eukaryota; Metazoa; Chordata; Mammalia; Primates; Hominidae
Description: HSALNT0338522
Source: RNAcentral